UCUACGGGUGGCAGCAGUGGGGAAUAUUGCACAAUGGGCGCAAGCCUGAUGCAGCCAUGCCGCGUGUGUGAAGAAGGCCUUCGGGUUGUAAAGCACUUUCAGCGGGGAGGAAGGCGGUGAGGUUAAUAACCUCAUCGAUUGACGUUACCCGCAGAAGAAGCACCGGCUAACUCCGUGCCAGCAGCCGCGGUAAUACGGAGGGUGCAAGCGUUAUUCGGAAUUACUGGGCGUAAAGCGCACGCAGGCGGUCUGUCAAGUCGGACGUGAAAUCCCCGGGCUCAACCUGGGAACUGCAUUCGAAACUGGCAGGCUAGAGUCUUGUAGAGGGGGGUAGAAUUCCAGGUGUAGCGGUGAAAUGCGUAGAGAUCUGGAGGAAUACCGGUGGCGAAGGCGGCCCCCUGGACAAAGACUGACGCUCAGGUGCGAAAGCGUGGGGAGCAAACAGGGUUAGAUACCCCGGUAGUC
This 465-nucleotide ribosomal RNA is filed under the name uncultured Klebsiella sp. RNAcentral's name for it is "bacterial SSU rRNA". It matches the Rfam family "Bacterial small subunit ribosomal RNA", at positions 338 to 795 of the family's 1533-position model. The record is from RNAcentral. Lineage: Bacteria; Pseudomonadati; Pseudomonadota; Gammaproteobacteria; Enterobacterales; Enterobacteriaceae.